AAGCCCANGUGGUAGAAUGCGCCAAAAUGCAAAUUUGGAGACGCACCCUAACAGGUGCCGGGGCUUCUCCCGUCUUACGCAAAACGGGAGAAGC
RNAcentral lists this transfer RNA (94 nucleotides) under Cyrtodactylus cf. pubisulcus. RNAcentral's name for it is "tRNA-Cys". Lineage: Eukaryota; Metazoa; Chordata; Lepidosauria; Squamata; Gekkonidae. The record is from RNAcentral.